Molecule: ribosomal RNA, 505 nt
Filed under: uncultured bacterium
Lineage: Bacteria
Description: partial 16S ribosomal RNA
Rfam family: Bacterial small subunit ribosomal RNA
Source: RNAcentral
GACGAAAGCUGGCGGCGUGCCUAAUACAUGCAAGUAGAACGCACAGUUUAUACCGUAGCUUGCUACACCAUAAACUGUGAGUUGCGAACGGGUGAGUAACGCGUAGGUAACCUGCCUGGUAGCGGGGGAUAACUAUUGGAAACGAUAGCUAAUACCGCAUAAUAUUGAUUAUUGCAUGAUAAUUGAUUGAAAGAUGCUAUUGCAUCACUACCAGAUGGACCUGCGUUGUAUUAGCUAGUAGGUGAGGUAACGGCUCACCUAGGCGACGAUACAUAGCCGACCUGAGAGGGUGAUCGGCCACACUGGGACUGAGACACGGCCCAGACUCCUACGGGAGGCAGCAGUAGGGAAUCUUCGGCAAUGGACGAAAGUCUGACCGAGCAACGCCGCGUGAGUGAAGAAGGUUUUCGGAUCGUAAAGCUCUGUUGUAAGAGAAGAACGGGUGUGAGAGUGGAAAGUUCACACUGUGACGGUAUCUUACCAGAAAGGGACGGCUAACUACGUG